GACGAACGCUGGCGGCGUGCUUAACACAUGCAAGUCGAACGGAAAGGCCCUGCUUUUGUGGGGUGCUCGAGUGGCGAACGGGUGAGUAACACGUGAGUAACCUGCCCUUGACUUUGGGAUAACUUAAGGAAACUGGGGCUAAUAUCGGAUAGGAGCUCCUGCUGCAUGGUGGGGGUUGGAAAGUUUCGGCGGUUGGGGAUGGACUCGCGGCUUAUCAGCUUGUUGGUGGGGUAGUGGCUUACCAAGGCUUUGACGGGUAGCCGGCCUGAGAGGGUGACCGGCCACAUUGGGACUGAGAUACGGCCCAGACUCCUACGUGAGGCAGCAGUGGGGAAUAUUGCACAAUGGGCGGAAGCCUGAUGCAGCAACGCCGCGUGCGGGAUGACGGCCUUCUGGUUGUAAACCGCUUUCGCCUGUGACGAAGCGUUAGUGACGGUAAUGGGUAAAGAAGCACCGGCUAACUACGUG
RNAcentral lists this ribosomal RNA (468 nucleotides) under uncultured bacterium. RNAcentral describes it as "partial 16S ribosomal RNA". It matches the Rfam family "Bacterial small subunit ribosomal RNA", at positions 28 to 507 of the family's 1533-position model. The record is from RNAcentral.